RNAcentral lists this ribosomal RNA (266 nucleotides) under uncultured prokaryote. RNAcentral describes it as "partial 16S ribosomal RNA". It matches the Rfam family "Bacterial small subunit ribosomal RNA", at positions 524 to 789 of the family's 1533-position model. The record is from RNAcentral.
UACGUAGGUGGCAAGCGUUGUCCGGAUUUAUUGGGCGUAAAGAGCGCGCAGGUGGUUGAUUAAGUCUGAUGUGAAAGCCCACGGCUUAACCGUGGAGGGUCAUUGGAAACUGGUCGACUUGAGUGCAGAAGAGUGAAGUAGAAUUCCAUGUGUAGCGGUGAAAUGCGUAGAGAUAUGGAGGAACACCAGUGGCGAAGGCGGCUUCCUGGUCUGUAACUGACACUGAGGCGCGAAAGCGUGGGGAGCAAACAGGAUUAGAUACCCGU